Molecule: ribosomal RNA, 543 nt
Filed under: uncultured bacterium
Lineage: Bacteria
Description: bacterial SSU rRNA
Rfam family: Bacterial small subunit ribosomal RNA
Source: RNAcentral
AACCUUACCUGGCCUUGACAUACUAAGAACUUUCCAGAGAUGGAUUGGUGCCUUCGGGAACUUAGAUACAGGUGCUGCAUGGCUGUCGUCAGCUCGUGUCGUGAGAUGUUGGGUUAAGUCCCGCAACGAGCGCAACCCUUUUCCUUAUUUGCCAGCGGGUUAAGCCGGGAACUUUAAGGAUACUGCCAGUGACAAACUGGAGGAAGGCGGGGACGACGUCAAGUCAUCAUGGCCCUUACGGCCAGGGCUACACACGUGCUACAAUGGUCGGUACAAAGGGUUGCUACCUCGCGAGGGGAUGCUAAUCUCAAAAAGCCGAUCGUAGUCCGGAUCGCAGUCUGCAACUCGACUGCGUGAAGUCGGAAUCGCUAGUAAUCGCGGAUCAGAAUGCCGCGGUGAAUACGUUCCCGGGCCUUGUACACACCGCCCGUCACACCAUGGGAGUUUGUUGCACCAGAAGUAGGUAGUCUAACCGCAAGGAGGACGCUUACCACGGUGUGGCCGAUGACUGGGGUGAAGUCGUAACAAGGUAAGCGUAGAUGA